GGAAUUUUAAAGGACAGGGUUCUCAGCUCAACAACAGACCAUCACCAUGGUUCGACUUCAUUUUUUGACUUCAUGUGUGUGCGUAUGUAAAAUGUAUUCAGUAGCAACCACACUUGGAAUUUUGAUCUUUUCCUGGGCUUACAAUACAUGCAGUACUAUACUCUCUGGUGAUGCCCAGCAGUGGCAGAAAGUCCCAGUCAGCCAUGUGAUCACAAAGUAAACAACCAACACAACCAUUGUUUUUCACUUUUAGUACAAUAUUCAAUAACUUACAUGAAUGUUCGACACCUUAUUAUAACAUAGGUUUUGUGUUAGAUAAUUUUGCCCAACUGUAAGGCUAAAGAAGUGUUCUGAGCAUGUUUAAGGUAGGCUGGGCUAAGCUGUUUGGUACGUGUAUUAAAUGCAUUCUUAACAAUAUGUUCAACUUAUAAUGAGGUUACUGCACGUAACUCCGUUGUAAGUCAAGGAAGACCUGUACAGUAAUGUUCAAAUUGGUAGUCUAUUCUGAUUAUAUUCUAGGAGGUGUUAACAGGUUGGCCAUGAGAAAACAGGCUUUCUGGCAAGGCAAAUUUAGGUCCAGCCUUCGGGCGGCGCGCCCUCCGCCCGACAGGCGGCGCUGUGGGCCGGCAACUCUGCCCGCCGAACCCUCCGGCGCCGGAGGCCGGAACCGCCGCCGCUUCAGUUCGUGCCGCACGUGCCGUCCCUCGGUCUGGGCGCCGCCAUGGCGGCGGCGGCCGAGAUGCCCGUGUUCGUGGAGAGAGCCGAAAGCGGGAGGUAUGCCCAUGGAUAUCUCUGUGAUGCCGUCCUCACUGCAGGUGAAAACCCCUGAGGGCUGCACAGAGACCCGGCUUCCAGCAGAGGUCAGGCUUGCCCCUUCCACCUGCCGGGGGCUGCGGUAUGUGGCCGGGGAUGGGCUGCACCUCAGGCUGCAGGCUCAGGCAGGACUCUGCGCAGAACUGAUUUCAGUGUUUAAUCGAAGUUUACAAUCCCAAGAAUGCUGCACAUUUUAUUGUCAGUCCUGUGGAGAAGUCAUAAUAAGAGACAGGAAGCUCCUCCGGGUGCUCUCGUUGCCGAGUGAGAACUGGGGAGCUCUAGUUGGAGAAUGGUGUUGUCAUCCUGACCCCUUUGCUAAUAAGCCACUUCAUCCGCAAGAGAAUGACUGUUUUCUUGGAGACACUUUCUUCUUGGUGAAUUUAAGAAGUGACUUGUGGCAUCCAAGACCUGAACUAGCCCCAGCGGAGAUGCACUGUCUUUCUUCUGAGAACCAUUUUAAAUUGAAACCAAAGGCAAAUACCAAAGUAAUUUGUAAACGUUGCAAGGUAAUGUUGGGAGAGACCAUGUCAUCAGAAACCACCAAGUUUUAUAUGACAGAGAUAAUUAUUAAGCCAUCCGAGAGAAAUUUUCCUGUCAUACCAAGGUCUCGGUUUGUACAGAGUGUCGUCGCCCAGUGUCUGGUGGAACUCUCCUCUGCCAGAAGCACUUUCAGAUUCACCAUUCAAGGUCAUGACGGCAAAGUGUACAUCCUGCUAUGGCUUUUAAACUCAGACAGUUUGGUGAUUGAAUCUUUGGAAAAUCCCAGAUAUCUCAAGAAAUUCCCCCUGUUGGAAGACAUAUGGAAUGCAGAUUCCAGUUCUGCCUGGAAUGCCGUCAAGGUCCUCUACCAGCCAUGCAUCAAAAGCAGGAACAAAAAGCUUUCCAGCUCAUGGGAAAGUGAUGUCAGCACCCACUCUCUGACCAUGCCUUCUACAACCUGCUUGGAGCUGCUGCUGAUAUUAACAGGGAACAAUGCCACUCUGCCCCCAUCCCUCCGCUCUAUGGAUUCCUUUCAGUGGUAACGCUUUACAGAGCAUCCUACCGCCGGCAGGGCCGGUGGGGCCUGCGGCCCAGCUCCGCUCACCGUACUCAGCCUUCCCCAGUUUUGCCUCUGCUCAUUCGUCCAUGUGUGCUGGUGGCCUUUUUGAAGAUGUGACUGUUGAAACCGAGGCAUCCCUCUCCCGGGCAGACAGCUCUACAGCACGGAGCACAGCACAGGCCAGCCGUGGGCUCAGUGGGCAACAACUAGAGGCAAGAGCCGGAGCUGCAGAAUGGGAGGGUUGAAUUGAAGUUUUGAGUUUUCUUGUUUGCAUAUUUUUCCCUAAGAGUUAACUUUAAAUAUUUGAAGAACCACACCUGGGAAGAAAGUUUUAGUAGCAGACUGCGAUAAGUAUAGAAGUUUGAUAAUAUAGUUACAGUUAAUAUAAUUAAGAAGUUAGUUGCUAUAGUCUGUUUCCCACAGAGAGGAAUAUUCACGUUUGUGCUGUGUCAGCACCACCGGGAAGCAUAUUAGCUGGUGGAGACCCAUCUGUCCUAUGUGGAAUUCAGUGAGGGACUUACUUGAUGAAACUAAAUGCUCACUGCUGAUAGUCCAAGGAAAUGACAUACAAACAACUUCUCAAGUUCGUUUAAAACAAAUUUUUAAAAAAGAAGUAGAGAAUUUUGUAUUCCUUAUUCAUAAAUGCUCAAUAAAUAAAUGUUUGUUGAAUGAGUGAUUAUCAAAUUAAAGGUUUUUGCAUCUA
Molecule: RNA transcript, 2555 nt
Organism: Manis pentadactyla (Chinese pangolin)
Lineage: Eukaryota; Metazoa; Chordata; Mammalia; Pholidota; Manidae
Gene name: E3 ubiquitin-protein ligase E3D-like
Exons: 11
Source: RefSeq, a predicted model, not a curated record